AUCAAUGUGCUCCUGAAUACCAAAGCCAAAGCAUCCAGUAUCGCUAAAGUUCCUACGAAGCAACUCGUACUCCUUAACCUUCAACCCACUUUCCAAGAGCUGCAUCGCCUUGUCUCCUCUAACGGUGACAUAGCAAGCAAUCUUCUCAUUACGUCUGAUUCCGAACGAUCGUACAGUGUAUCUUGCUUUAGAGAACACAGGGCUCUGGCCGCUAAGUUGUUCGAGCACCUUAGCAGCUCUGGUGAGCCGAUCUCCACUCUCACCAACUGAGAUAUUGAGGACGAGUUUCUGCACCUUAAUAUCCCUCAUUGGGUUCGAUAACUUCUUCUCCGAAGCCAUUGGAGUGUUCUGGCGGGUGGCUGCGGCUUGAGUAGCAGCACCAACACCAGCAACACCCAAG
RNAcentral lists this unclassified non-coding RNA (400 nucleotides) under Hevea brasiliensis (rubber tree). Lineage: Eukaryota; Viridiplantae; Streptophyta; Magnoliopsida; Malpighiales; Euphorbiaceae. The record is from RNAcentral.